AUGAGAUUCAACAAUACAGACACCUGCAGCUACAUCUCCCAAAUAUGCACAUGGUUUCAUACCAUGGCAAAGAAAAAAAUAAGGAAUGUUAUCAACCAUGAAGGAACAGAAAUAUCAAUGUUGACAGUGUACUUUCAAGCAAACAUCUUACAUGAGAAAGCACGAGGUAUACUAUACAGAGACUUUCCAGAAUAUUAUACUUGGCAAACACAAGGGAAGUUCUGGCAAGAGAGGAAACGAGACGCUUUGUUCCAGGUUGGCAGGAUCGUCUCAGCACAUCCGGCUGAAGGAGAACGAUACUAUCUUCGAGUUCUCCUAAACCACGUGACAGGCGUGAUGAGCUAUGAAGACCUACGAACAGUCGAUGGACAGCUAAUGCCAACCUUCCAUGAAGCUGCAGAAAAACGAGGGCUCAUUGAGGCAGACAACACAUUGGAUGACUGCAUGAUAGAAGCAAAGUUAUUUCGAAUGCCAUCGUCAUUACGAAGGCUAUUCGCGACAAUCCUGGUGUUUUGCGAGCCAAGCAACGUUUGUAGCCUCUGGAACAAACACCUAGAGUCAAUGUCAGAAGACUACAAUAGAAACUGCAAAUGCAAGCACAUGGUUGAACAGAUGGUGCUGAGAAAUAUUAGGGACAUGUUGCACUCAAUGGGAAAAGACAUAAAAUCAUUUCCUCUUCCAGAGAUUGACAAACAACAUGAGACGACAGACGACAUACCUAGGGAAAUCAUCGAGGAGACCUCGAUUGAGGUGGACCCCGAGGACGCAUCUUUACAUAAAAACCUAAACAACGAGCAGAGGAAGGCCUACGAUGAAAUUCUACACACAAUUGACCGCCAAAGAGGAGGCAUAUUCUUUGUCGAUGGACCAGGAGGCUCAGGAAAAACUUUUCUUUACAGGGCGCUCUUGGCCACAAUACACGGACAAGGAAAGAUUGCUGUGGCGACAACCACUUCUGGUGUUGCUGCUUCCAUAAUGCCCGGAGGGAGGACGACACACUCGAGGUUCAAGAUUCCACUGAAAAUAGACGAUGGAGCUAUUUGUGGAUUCACUAAACAAAGUGGGACAACCAAGCUACUCCAAGCAGCAUCACUAAUAAUCUGGGACGAAGCAUCUAUGACUAAGAGGCAGAUAGUGGAGGCGCUAGACAAAAGCAUGCGGGACAUAAUGGACAGACCAGAUCUUCCAUUCGGUUGA
This 1197-nucleotide ribosomal RNA is filed under the name Triticum aestivum (bread wheat). RNAcentral describes it as "partial small subunit ribosomal RNA". Lineage: Eukaryota; Viridiplantae; Streptophyta; Magnoliopsida; Poales; Poaceae. The record is from RNAcentral.